RNAcentral lists this ribosomal RNA (208 nucleotides) under uncultured bacterium. RNAcentral describes it as "partial 16S ribosomal RNA". It matches the Rfam family "Bacterial small subunit ribosomal RNA", at positions 568 to 774 of the family's 1533-position model. The record is from RNAcentral.
CUUGUAGGCGGUUUGUCGCGUCUGCUGUGAAAGGCCGGAGCUUAACUCCGUGUAUUGCAGUGGGUACGGGCAGACUAGAGUGCAGUAGGGGAGACUGGAAUUCCUGGUGUAGCGGUGGAAUGCGCAGAUAUCAGGAGGAACACCGAUGGCGAAGGCAGGUCUCUGGGCUGUAACUGACGCUGAGAAGCGAAAGCAUGGGGAGCGAACA